GACGAACGCUGGCGGCGUGCUUAACACAUGCAAGUCGAACGGAAAGGCCCCUUUGGGGGUACUCGAGUGGCGAACGGGUGAGUAACACGUGAGUAACCUGCCCUUGACUUCGGGAUAACUUCAGGAAACUGGGGCUAAUACCGGAUAGGAAUCCUUGCUGCAUGGUGGGGGUUGGAAAGCUUCGGCGGUUUUGGAUGGACUCGCGGCGUAUCAGCUUGUUGGUGGGGUAGUGGCUUACCAAGGCUUUGACGGGUAGCCGGCCUGAGAGGGCGACCGGCCACAUUGGGACUGAGAGACGGCCCAGACGCCUACGGGAGGCAGCAGUGGGGAAUAUUGAACAAUGGGCGGCGGCCUGAUGCAGCAACGCCGCGUGCGGGAUGACGGCCUUCGGGUUGAAAAACGCUUUCAGCAGGGGCGAAGCUUGUGGUGACGGUACCUGCAGAAGAAGCACCGGCUAACUACGUG
This 465-nucleotide ribosomal RNA is filed under the name uncultured bacterium. RNAcentral's name for it is "partial 16S ribosomal RNA". It matches the Rfam family "Bacterial small subunit ribosomal RNA", at positions 28 to 507 of the family's 1533-position model. The record is from RNAcentral.